RNAcentral lists this ribosomal RNA (17 nucleotides) under polypore sp. E7389. Its description in RNAcentral is "partial 26S ribosomal RNA". The record is from RNAcentral. Lineage: Eukaryota; Fungi; Basidiomycota; Agaricomycetes; Polyporales; Polyporaceae.
CAGACCUCAAAUCAGGA